GGAAAUUUUGUUGGAGAUCAGUCAAUUGCCAUUUCAAAUAAUCCAAAGAGCAUACAAGGUGGUCUACUGAACAUAGACAGCAAACAGGACAAGAAAUUUCAGAUGGUCUGCCAUCAAGCAGCCAUCAAAGUUUUUGAUUCGCAUUUCUAACCAAGUUCAAUCUCCCGAUGUUGAAAACUUCCGACGUCCAUUAUGAAAGAAUCAACCAUUAAUCCUCCUGAUGUUUUUCUACGUACAUAGUUCCUAUCUUUUCAAAGUCCGAUGACCGAGCAUGAGAUUACACAUUCGAAAAAUUAGGGCUUUGCAGAACCCGGAACCAGGAAUUACCCACAGCAAUUGAAUCAAGUUACAGUUCAAUUCAGAUUCAGAAAACAGCAGCAUAGAAGAAAAAGGGGAGCAAUAGAGUAAUAGAGAGAAAACGAACCUGGAAUAGGAGAUAAGAAGCUGAAGAUGUGCA
RNAcentral lists this long non-coding RNA (457 nucleotides) under Linum usitatissimum (flax). Its description in RNAcentral is "long non-coding RNA (LUSI_LNC001629)". Lineage: Eukaryota; Viridiplantae; Streptophyta; Magnoliopsida; Malpighiales; Linaceae. The record is from RNAcentral.